AGGCCUGGACCAGGUUUGAUUCUAUAACGGUCCAGCAUCGACGGCCAUCACUGCUGAAUCGAGGCUGUUGCUCUGGCCUGGACCAGUAUCUAUUUCAGUCCCGAUGUAGUCAUAGCUGAUACAGUAAUGUCUGUUCGUCAGCACUGGUCCAGGCUGUAUAUCAGUACUGGAUCAGAUCGAUGCUUUUCAAGAUGGCAGCCCCGCGUGGACUAUCUGACAUGUUUUGUUAAAGAAAAUCAUCUUAAUCUGACUCUUUAAGAGAAAUCUCGUUGGCUGUAUACACUAGGGCUACAUCACUGGAUGUUAUGCUAUUUUGAACCAUUUAUUACUUAAACAUGAGUAGGAUACACGAUAUUUUGAGUAAAAAUAUUGAGCCAAACAUUGAAACAGAGCGAGAAGACCUUUCUGCAAUAAUCAUGACACUAGUGAAGAUGAUGAGAAAUUAGGCGUAAAAAUGGUUCACUACAUGUGAUUGUAACUAUGUUUUUAAUUAGGGUGAAUGUAUUAGUGAUCAUGAUGAUGAAGAUAUUGUACUGAGAGACUUAUGAAUGAUAGUCACAAGUGUGAAUUUUUGAUGCGGAAGAUUAUUCUGGAAAUAUUAGUAUAGCCACUAGUAUACAUUCUAUAGUUACCUUAUCUCACUAAGUUUCAAGACAAGAAUAUCUUAGGUUUGUUUAAUUUCAUGUGAAAAGCUAAAUUCAUUAUUCAGGUUGUGAUGAACUGAAACUUUCUUGUUUAAAGCUCUUGUUAAAUUCACUUCAAAUAGCAUUGAAUUUUUUGUGAACCUGCCUUCAUCAUGCUGGUUAAGGAAGUUAUGUUAUGGAUCUAAGCUUUGUAGGACUAUGUGUUACAAGAUACCUUUAAAAGAUCUGCUUCACUACAUGGAACCCCAGAGUUCAUUAAUGUUGGAGAUUUUUGGAAAUUAAUUUCUCAGUAAUGUGUCUUAAGUUACAAAACAUGAAGUGUCUUACUUGUGGAACAUUGGUAGACUAUGA
This 995-nucleotide long non-coding RNA is filed under the name Amphimedon queenslandica. Its description in RNAcentral is "uncharacterized LOC109583903, transcript variant X7". The record is from RNAcentral. Lineage: Eukaryota; Metazoa; Porifera; Demospongiae; Haplosclerida; Niphatidae.